RNAcentral lists this ribosomal RNA (806 nucleotides) under Streptomyces sp. Its description in RNAcentral is "bacterial SSU rRNA". It matches the Rfam family "Bacterial small subunit ribosomal RNA", at positions 63 to 883 of the family's 1533-position model. Lineage: Bacteria; Bacillati; Actinomycetota; Actinomycetes; Kitasatosporales; Streptomycetaceae. The record is from RNAcentral.
CGAACGAUGAACCACUUCGGUGGGGAUUAGUGGCGAACGGGUGAGUAACACGUGGGCAAUCUGCCCUGCACUCUGGGACAAGCCCUGGAAACGGGGUCUAAUACCGGAUACUGAUCAUCUUGGGCAUCCUUGGUGAUCGAAAGCUCCGGCGGUGCAGGAUGAGCCCGCGGCCUAUCAGCUUGUUGGUGAGGUAAUGGCUCACCAAGGCGACGACGGGUAGCCGGCCUGAGAGGGCGACCGGCCACACUGGGACUGAGACACGGCCCAGACUCCUACGGGAGGCAGCAGUGGGGAAUAUUGCACAAUGGGCGAAAGCCUGAUGCAGCGACGCCGCGUGAGGGAUGACGGCCUUCGGGUUGUAAACCUCUUUCAGCAGGGAAGAAGCGAAAGUGACGGUACCUGCAGAAGAAGCGCCGGCUAACUACGUGCCAGCAGCCGCGGUAAUACGUAGGGCGCGAGCGUUGUCCGGAAUUAUUGGGCGUAAAGAGCUCGUAGGCGGCUUGUCGCGUCGGUUGUGAAAGCCCGGGGCUUAACCCCGGGUCUGCAGUCGAUACGGGCAGGCUAGAGUUCGGUAGGGGAGAUCGGAAUUCCUGGUGUAGCGGUGAAAUGCGCAGAUAUCAGGAGGAACACCGGUGGCGAAGGCGGAUCUCUGGGCCGAUACUGACGCUGAGGAGCGAAAGCGUGGGGAGCGAACAGGAUUAGAUACCCUGGUAGUCCACGCCGUAAACGGUGGGCACUAGGUGUGGGCGACAUUCCACGUCGUCCGUGCCGCAGCUAACGCAUUAAGUGCCCCGCCUGGGGAGUAC